This 1035-nucleotide long non-coding RNA is filed under the name Oncorhynchus mykiss (rainbow trout). RNAcentral describes it as "lncRNA (ENSOMYG00000059518.1)". The record is from RNAcentral. Lineage: Eukaryota; Metazoa; Chordata; Actinopteri; Salmoniformes; Salmonidae.
AUGACUGCCUUGCCUGGUUCACCAACUACUUUACAGACAGAGUUCAGUGUGUCAAAUCGGAGGGCAUGUUGUCCGGUCCUCUGGCAGUCUCUAUGGGGGUACCACAGGGUUCAAUUCUCUUGGCCGACUCUUUUCUCUGUAUUUAUCAAUGAUGCUGCUCUUGCUGCGGGCGAUUCCCUGAUCCACCUCUACGCAGACGACACCAUUCUGUAUACUUCUGGCCCUUCCUUGGACACUGUGCUAUCUAACCUCCAAACGAGCUUCAAUGCCAUACAACACUCCUUCCGUGGCCUCCAACUGCUCUUAAACGCUAGUAAAACCAAAUGCAUGCUUUUCAACCGUUCGCUGCCUGCACCCGCACGCCCGACUAACAUCACCACCCUGGAUGGUUCCGACCUAGAAUAUGUGGACAUCUAUAAGUACCUAGGUGUCUGGCUAGACUGCAAACUCUCCUUCCAGACUCAUAUCAAACAUCUCCAAUCCAAAAUCAAAUCUAGAGUCGGCUUUCUAUUUCGCAACAAAGCCACCUUCACUCACGCCGCAAAACUUACCCUAGUAAAACUGACUAUCCUACCGAUCCUCGACUUCGGCGAUGUCAUCUACAAAAUAGCUUCCAAUACUCUACUCAGAAAACUGGAUGCAGUUUAUCACAGUGCCAUCCGUUUUGUUACUAAAGCACCUUAUACCACCCACCACUGCGACCUGUAUGCUCUAGUCAGCUGGCCUUCGCUACAUGUUCGUCGCCAGACCCACUGGCUCCAGGUCAUCUACAAGUCUAUGCUAGGUAAAGCUCCACAUUAUCUCAGUUCACUGGUCACGAUGGCAACACCCACCCGUAGCACGCACUCCAGCAGGUGUAUCUCACUGAUCAUCCCUAAAGCCAAAACCUCAUUUGGCCGCCUUUCCUUCCAGUUCUCUGCUGCCUGCGACUGGAACGAAUUGCAUAAAUCUCUGAAGUUGGAGACUUUUAUCUCCCUCACCAACUUUAAACAUCUGCUAUCUGAACAGCUAACCGAUCGCUGCAGCUGUACAUAG